Molecule: long non-coding RNA, 3755 nt
Filed under: Canis lupus familiaris (dog)
Lineage: Eukaryota; Metazoa; Chordata; Mammalia; Carnivora; Canidae
Description: lncRNA (ENSCAFG00000052738.1, ENSCAFG00805011632.1)
Source: RNAcentral
UUUUUUUAUUUUUAUUUUUUAAAGAUUUUAUUUAUUUAUUCAUAGAGACAGAGAGGCAGAGACACAGGCAGAGGGAGAAGCAGGCUCCAUGCAGAGAGCCUGACGUGGGACUCGAUCCAGGGUCUCCAGGAUCACGCCCUGGGCUGCAGGAGGCGCUAAACCGCUGCGCCACCCGGGCUACCCCCUUGUAGCCUUUUAAAUAUUUGUUUCUCUCUAGUCUUUGGGGUUUGUAUUGCUUAGGAAGGCCUUACUAAGAUGUAUAAAAACAAAUUUCUGUAUUUUCUUUUAGCACUUUAAUUCUUCUGAAAUUUUUGCAUAUGAAAAUGAAGAGCCUAUAUUUCUCUAUUUGAAAUGCCAUCUCUGUAAUAAAUGUAUACAUGGGGUUAUUUCUGAACUUCAGUUUGCUCCACUAUUUGUCCAGUUCUAUUUCAGCACUACUUUGUAGUUCUGAUGUGUAUUUGGGUAAAUUCUCAUUCUUUUAAAAAAAACAUUUUGGUUAAUCUUGCACUUACAUUUUUCCAGAUAAAAAGAAAAUCUUGAUUUCCACUAAAAAUUGUUAGAAUUUGUACUUAAAAGGCAACACAUUUAUAAUCUGAGUAGAAUCUUUACAAUGCUUAGCCUACUCAUGUAGGGACACAGUGUAUCUUUUCACUUAGUUCUGAUCUUCUGUAACAUCCAUAAAUGAUGUUUUAUGAUUUUUUAAUAUAGGCUUUAUUUCUUGAUAGAUUUCUAGAAGAUUUCACCAUUGUUGCUAAUGUGAAUGAGUUUACAUUUAAUAGUUGAUUAUAUCUAGUUUAUUUAUUUUUGUUUAUAUCGUUUAUAAAAAAUCUUCUAUAUGUUGCUGAGCUUACCAUCUUCCUGACAAUAUUGUCUUACUGAUAUUCCGGGUAGAUAAUAUCAUUUAUCUUAAUUUCUUCCUAAUUUCAUACCUUAGUUAUUUUGAUUAUUAUUACACUGGACUCAAAAUUCUCAGAACAAUGUUGAAUUGUAUGAAUGAAGGAAAUAGCCUGGAUCAUGACAUUAAGUGUUUUAUUUCUGGUUGAUACCCUUCAUCCAGUUAAACUUUUGUUCCUUGCUUAAUAUAAGUUGUAUUUCUUUUUUAAAGAUUUUAUUUAUUUAUUCAUGAGAAAGAGACAGAGAGGCAGAAACACAGGUGGAGGGAGAAGCAGGCUCCAUGCAGGGAGCCUGACAUGGGACUCGAUCCCGGGUCUCCAGGAUCAGGCCCUGGGCUGAAGGCAGCGUUAAACCGCCGAGCCACCCGGCCUGCCCUAUGAAUUGUAUUUCUUAAAUAAAUCAGUAAUAAAUCCUAAUUUUUCAAGUGCUUUUUCAGUAACAAUUAAAAUCAUAGUUUUUCUCUACUAAUGUAGAAAAUUUUCACUAAGGUUGAGUAUUCUUGUAUUGGUGGGAUUAACCCGAUUUGGUUAUGACAUUAUUUUCUAAAUGCACUGCUGGCUUCAUAAUUUCCUUAGGUUUUUCACCGGAGUAUUCAUAAGUGAGACUGAGAUUUUUUUUUAUUUUCAUUAUCCUUGUUUAGAUUCUGUUAUGGUUAUGCUCCCUUCAUAGUUGGGACAUACUCAAUUCUUCUCUAUGCUUUGUUCCUGGUGACUUUGGUCAAGGAUAUACAGGAUAUUCUUUCAUGAUUAUCAGUUUAUUAAGGUUUUCUAACUACAGCCAAUUUUUGAAAAUCUGUAUUUUCCUAGAAAAUUAUCCAAAUAAAUUUUCAAGAUUAUUAGUAUAAAGCUACUUGAGACUCACUUCUAAUUUUGGGAGUCCCUCAUAUCUGAAAUAUGUUCCUUUGUUUCCAUUAUUGUUUUCUUUCCUUCUUUAAAUUUGCUAAGUGUCUAUUUAUUGUUCUUUUCAAACAGCAGUUAUCAAUUUUAUAUUUUAUUUAAUUAAUAUCUGCUUUUAUUUUUAAUCCCUCUCAAGUUUAUUUUGGGAGAUUUUAUUUUUUCUGCUUCUCUGCUGUUUCAGUUUUCUUUUUUAUCCUUCCUGCCAUGUGUGUAUCCUUUAAGGGUGUACUAACCCUCAGUGAGUUUAUCCAUAUAACACAGCAACAAAUGAAGCCUUUUACCAUUAUUAUGUAACUGGCUACAAACUGUAUUAAUUUGGAGUCAGAGUGUGUUCCAAUUCCCCACCUCCUACUUAUGUGAUCUUGGCCAAAUGUGAGCAGUUUCUUCAUCUGUAAAAACAGAAAUAAUAAUACAGAUUAAGUUUGAAACUCUUUGCAAAUCAUUUAGCAUAGAAACUGGCCCCUAUAAUAACUCAAUAGAUGUCUGGCAAGACAAAACACCUUAGCUGCCCUAUUUCUAAAAAUAAGGGGAUUGAGAUGACUAAUGAUUUUAUUAGUUCAUCCACCAAUCAACUGCUCAUCAAGCCACCUGCUAACCCACAACCACAGUUACUAAGCCCUCCCCUUGAACUAAGUAUUCAGAAUGUCAGGAGCACCAAGAUGAAUAAUGAUACAAUCCCUACCUUCCAGAAGCUCAGAGUUGGGGAGGUGGCAUGACUGCUAAAUAGCUAAUUAUAAUAUAAUGUGAUAAGUAGUCUAAUAAGGGCUGUGUAUAUUCAAAGGCUUUGAGAAGUAUGGCAAAAUCAAAGAUCUAGAUUGGACACCUAAUUCAGUUAAUACUUACUAGCUGUGAAUCUUCAGGCAAUUAACUUUGGUACUUUGUUUCUCUAUCUGCAAAAAGGAAGAGUCAUACUGUUCUGGUAGGUUAAGGAUUAAGUAAGAAAAUUAAUACAAAGUGCUUAUUACAGUGUCAGACUCAUGAACUCACCACAUGACGAUUAUUAAUACUAAUAUGACAAGAGGCUAUGGAAGUUAAAGAAAGCCAAUUUACUGUACUUCAGGGGAAUUUCCCAAAUGUGUUUAAAAACAAGACGUGCGGCAAGGUAAUAAGGAUGGGAAAAAAACAGGGUAAAAGGGGAAUCGAGGUAGGUGAUAUCCCUGGAGGGCAGAUAAUUCUAAUUUCUCUGCUAAAUUAAAUCCGAACCAUGUAGUUUCUUUUUCUUUUAUUUAUUAAGUAGGCUCCAUGCCCAACGUGGGGCUGGAACUCACCACCCUGAGAUCACCGGUCGCAUUCUCUACCAACUGAGUCAGCCAAGCGCCCCGCAAUGUAUUUUCAAUGGAGUGACUGGAAGAAUGAAUACAUAUUAAGCAAUACGGUUGCAGAAAAGGAUUUGGGCCAAACUAUUGAAAGUGAACACUUUACACUAAAAGGAACCUUGGAGCAGUCUUUGGACUACUGACCUGUGUUUAUACUGGCUCCCACAACUUACCUGUUUGGUCUUAGCAAAUUACGAACCCCUUGAAUGGCCUCACCUACAAACCAGGGACAACACCUACCUUAUAAAAUUAUUGUGAGAAUUAAGUACCAAGCAAUUACCCAAGAGCCUGGCACUAAUAAGCAUUCAAUACUGAGAGCGGGUGCAGCUGCUAACUUCCUCUCUGGGUCUUUCUCCAUACCUGUGCGUAACAGGGUCAGAACACACACUUCCUCCAAUGUUCCAACAAACACUGAAAAAUUGCACUAGGCCUGCCAAGGACGAAGAAAGGCCCCGCCCGGCCCGCGCCACACAGGUCACCUACGCAAACCGCAGUCCUGGAGCCUCCACCUGCGUCGCUGAGGCAUGGAAGGCGCGACGGAUGCCAGGCCAUUAGAGAGACAGGGCCUCGGUACGCCGGGAGUGAGACCGAGCCGAACUUCAGGAGCACCGGCCCGUACCACCAUCCGAUCUCUCCAGAGGCGAAGCCC